CCGCGGGAUUAGAGUUUGAUCCUGGCUCAGAGCGAACGCUGGCGGCAGGCCUAACACAUGCAAGUCGAACGAACUCUUCGGAGUUAGUGGCGGACGGGUGAGUAACACGUGGGAACGUGCCUUUAGGUUCGGAAUAACUCAGGGAAACUUGUGCUAAUACCGAAUGUGCCCUUCGGGGGAAAGAUUUAUCGCCUUUAGAGCGGCCCGCGUCUGAUUAGCUAGUUGGUGAGGUAAAGGCUCACCAAGGCGACGAUCAGUAGCUGGUCUGAGAGGAUGAUCAGCCACAUUGGGACUGAGACACGGCCCAAACUCCUACGGGAGGCAGCAGUGGGGAAUCUUGCGCAAUGGGCGAAAGCCUGACGCAGCCAUGCCGCGUGAAUGAUGAAGGUCUUAGGAUUGUAAAAUUCUUUCACCGGGGACGAUAAUGACGGUACCCGGAGAAGAAGCCCCGGCUAACUUCGUGCCAGCAGCCGCGGUAAUACGAAGGGGGCUAGCGUUGCUCGGAAUUACUGGGCGUAAAGGGAGCGUAGGCGGACAUUUAAGUCAGGGGUGAAAUCCCGGGGCUCAACCUCGGAAUUGCCUUUGAUACUGGGUGUCUUGAGUAUGAGAGAGGUGUGUGGAACUCCGAGUGUAGAGGUGAAAUUCGUAGAUAUUCGGAAGAACACCAGUGGCGAAGGCGACACACUGGCUCAUUACUGACGCUGAGGCUCGAAAGCGUGGGGAGCAAACAGGAUUAGAUACCCUGGUAGUCCACGCCGUAAACGAUGAUUGCUAGUUGUCGGGAUGCAUGCAUUUCGGUGACGCAGCUAACGCAUUAGGCAAUCCGCCUGGGGAGUACGGUCGCAAGAU
RNAcentral lists this ribosomal RNA (849 nucleotides) under uncultured Alphaproteobacteria bacterium. RNAcentral's name for it is "bacterial SSU rRNA". It matches the Rfam family "Bacterial small subunit ribosomal RNA", at positions 1 to 894 of the family's 1533-position model. Lineage: Bacteria; Pseudomonadati; Pseudomonadota; Alphaproteobacteria. The record is from RNAcentral.